GAAAAGGCCAUAGCUAAAGCCUGAUCAGAGAUAAAUCUCCAAAUCCAGAAUCUUGUAUUUUCUUCUGAACAACUAGCAAGCCCUUCCGCAGAGUUAAAUAGAGUCUGCAACACAUCUCCACCAAAACUUUGACAUAGUUUAUCAAAUAUCUCCAAAACAUUGUAAACCACAUAGAGUUUGAUUGUUCCUUGACCACGGAUCAUGUGAUAUAUUAAGCUGAUAUCUG
This 226-nucleotide unclassified non-coding RNA is filed under the name Hevea brasiliensis (rubber tree). Lineage: Eukaryota; Viridiplantae; Streptophyta; Magnoliopsida; Malpighiales; Euphorbiaceae. The record is from RNAcentral.